CCAAACAUCCCAGCAAAAGCAGAUCAAACUGGGAGGGGUGGGGGAGAGAGAGAGAGAUACCUAAACUGUGAUCUGCCCAGGCACAAGCCCCAUUCCUUGCAAGAAGCCGAAACGGUCGCCUGCUCCUGGGCUUGUGACUCCACCAGCAGCAUGUAGCAGAGAUCCCGUGGGCUCGUGUCAGCUGCAACAGCUACUGGGACGCAAGAGUUUUGUUUUGUUUUUUUCCCCACUCCAGUCUCGCAAGCCUGAGAAGAGUUUAAAGGCUUCUUCCUCCAGAUCCCUGCAGCACCUGCACCUCCCUGGAUAAACAGACCUCAGCAGAGGCUUUUAGUUACAGACACUUUAACUAGAGCCCAGCCCAAGGGAGGAGAGCGACUCGAAAAAACUUUGCACUAAAACUUUUUUUGUUGCGGCUACUUUGCUUUGUUAACCCCUUUGGUCAGUUGUGUGACAGCUGCUCUUCUCACUGCUCUCUCUACUUUAAUCAGAAUUAGCCAAAGAAAAAGAAAAGAAAGAAAAACCAACCCAAACAAACACCCCCCCCCCCAGAUCAUCCCAUGAGUUAGGAAGGGGGAAACAAGGAAUAAAGUUAUUCUGAAAAAAAAAACACAUUUGGCCGUCGAGAAGAGAGGGAGGCAAACAAAAACCUGUAGCAAAGCGGGGACGCAGUGAAUGGAAAGCGCAGUUUCACUGGAAUCAACAAGUGAGAACUUCUGGACGCCUCGGUCUUUCACCCCUCCCCGCGCUUACCCAGCCUGAAGGCUUUGAAACGUGUUGCUGGAAAGAAAUUGCCCCUAUUGACAGCUCUCCCUUCUUACACGUUUAUCAAGGAUAUACUCAUAAGUCACAUCUGCACCAGCCAUGAUCCCAAAGCACUGCCCCGCCCUGGCUGUUGGGGUGCUUCAUGGACUGCUUUGGCUACAAGGUCUUGCUCUGGAAGAAGUGCUACUGAAACCAAAGUUGAACAUUACAGAAGAUCAAAUUGUAAUCAAUGCAGGAGAUUUCUUUGCCAUAACAUGCAGGGGAGCAGCCGCCUUGACCUGGCUAUGGGGAAAUGAGCCACACAAAGACAUUCCCCACAGGUGGACUGUAUCUGAGCACAAGUGUUCAGACAAUGUACAGCAGACCUGCAGCAGGCUCACAAUCAACAAAGCUAUAGCCAACGACACCGGUUACUUCACCUGUGUUUAUAAUCGCCACCUUUCUAACAAAGACCUCGUGGCCAAGACAUAUGUGUACGUUACAGACCACCAGAAUCCAUUUGUUCAGAUUCACCCUCAAUAUCCCGAAGUGAUAUUUGUAUUGAAUACUACCGAAGUGGUUGUCAUACCCUGCCGGGUCACCUCACCAGAUAUCAAACCCAAGCUUCGACAGCUUCCUUCUUCUUCAGAGUUCAGCUACUGGAGGAUGGUGUGGGACCCCAGGAGAGGAUUUGUCAUCCCCUCUCCUCCUUUCCACUUCUUCAAAGGCAUACUCAUGUGUACAACCAAAGUAAACGGAAUUGAGUCGUCAUCCUACUACAUGCCACAGAAAGUGGAGAGCAGAAUACAGAACCUGGCUCUGAAAGCAAACCCCAGAAAGCUGUUGGUCGGAGAUACCCUCAACGUGGAAUGCAGCGCAGAGACCUUUCCCAAUGGACGGAUUGAAUUUGAAUGGCAGUAUCCUAGUGGGAGAGAUCAUAAGCCUACACGAACUUUGAACAAAAGUCAGGUGGUAUAUAAAGCCUUCAGUAACCUGACCAUCCAGAAUGUUACCAUGGAAGACACUGGCUUGUAUAUAUGCAGAGCAGUCAACGUAACAGGACUGGAGACCAAUGUAAUGAUACUGAAGGCCAAUGUAACAGUCACAGUAUACAACAAAGCUUUCCUGAGAGUUUCCUAUAAGAAAGGACCCUACUACGAGGGGGUAGCAGGACAUAAGUUACUGAAACUAGCUGUGAAGGUGGAUGCCUUUCCCCGCCCCAGUGUUACCUGGUAUAAAGAUGGCAAGCCAAUCAAGGAGAACCACACUUGUUAUGUAGCAGAUCCAAUGAAGUACAAGCUGGCCAUAAGGGAUUUGAGACCAAAGCAUGCUGGGAACUACACCAUAGUCCUGAGCAACACUAAACAUGGUCUGUAUGAGAACCUCACCAUCCAGCUAGUAGUGACAGAGAGGCCCAAAAUCUAUGAAAAGGAGACAGACUUUGACAAGGUCGCACAAGUGAACCUGGGAAGUACACAAAGCCUUCAGUGCACUGCGAGCGGGACUCCGGACCCCAAGAUCACGUGGGAAUGGGAGCGAUGCGCCCCUGCAGACACGCGCUGCAGACACCAUGGAAAAAGAACUGUCAUUCAGAAAAACAUCAGUGAGGCAGACAUACGGACAGGCAACAAAAUCGAGAGCAUUGAGGAGAAAUACAUAAUGCAUGAAGAUAAAAAAAAGAUCAUAAGCAAGCUGACUACAGAACAUAGCAAUGCAUCAGGGAUCUAUUACUGCGUGGCUUCAAACAAGAUUGGCAAAGAGGAGAGAAGCAUCAAGUUCUAUGUCUCAGAUGUGCCAUCGGGUCUGCAAACGGACCCACAGAUCACCACCAUCGUGGGAAGUGAUGUUCAGCUGACCUGCAGAGCCUCCAGAUACAUUUACGAUCACCUGGCAUGGUACUACCCUUCCUCACAGGUGGUGCCCACCGGCUUGAUGCAAGAGCAAAUUGACAGAUACUCCAUUUCCUUGACACUGGCCAUUAGUAAUGUCACAGAGGAACAUGCCGGGCAGUACAAGUGCAUCGCUCAGAAUCGGCACAACAGCACGGAUGUGCGAGAAGAGGAUACCCAACUCAAUGUUAAAGCAAAGGCAGUGCCAUAUAUUAUGCAGAACCUCACGGACCGAGAGGUUAACAUCAGUGGCAAGAUCAUUCUGGAGUGCAAAGUAAAUGGAACCCCAACACCUCAGAUUGCGUGGCGGAAAAAUGGCUAUCCCAUUUCACCUGCUUCAGGAAUUUCCAUGGAAAACAACACCCUGGUCAUUGAACGAGUGAAAAAAGAUGAUGAAGGCCUCUAUGAAUGUAGGGCUUCCAAUGAAAUGGGCAAUGACAGCACAUCAGCAUUUAUUAAAAUACAAGGCUCUGAAGAAAAAUCCAAUAUUGAAGUUAUCAUUUUGGUCUGCACUGGUCUAGCAGCUACCCUUUUUUGGCUUCUUCUGACCCUUUUCAUUCGGAAACUGAGAAAACCUGAUGCCACAGAUAUUAAAACGGGAUACCUGUCAAUCAUAAUGGAUCCAGAGGAAAUGCCCCUUGAUGAGCAGUGUGACCGUCUGCCAUAUGACAGUAGUAAAUGGGAGUUCCCAAGAGACAGGCUGCGGCUUGGUAAAACACUGGGUCAUGGUGCUUUUGGGAAAGUCGUGGAGGCAUCUGCUUUUGGUAUCGAUAAAUCUUCAACCUGCAAAACAGUUGCUGUUAAAAUGCUUAAAGCAGAAUGUGCAACUACAAAUGAGUGCAAGGCUUUAAUGUCUGAGCUGAAGAUCCUCAUCCACAUAGGACACCAUCUGAACGUGGUCAACCUGCUGGGAGCCUGCACCAAAGCAGGAGGUCCUUUGAUGGUUAUCGUAGAAUAUUGCAAAUAUGGAAAUCUGUCUAAUUAUCUGAGAGGAAAACGAGGGGACUUUGUUGCAUAUAAGUCCCAGGAGAAUUCUGACCAAGCAGAGAAAAGUCUGGAUGAGUCCAACAGUGAUUUAACAGAGCUGAUCAAGAGGCGCCUUGAGAGUGUGGCCAGCACAGGAAGCUCGGCCAGUUCAGGAUUCAUUGAAGAUAAGAGUUACAGUGACUCGGAAGAGGAAGAAGAAGAUGGUGAGGAUCUGCAGAAGCGACCCUUGACCUUGGAGGAUCUGAUCUGCUAUAGCUUCCAGGUGGCAAAAGGCAUGGAGUUCCUGGCCUCCAGAAAAUGUAUUCAUCGGGAUUUGGCAGCAAGGAACAUCCUUCUGUCGGAAAACAACGUGGUUAAGAUCUGUGACUUUGGACUGGCUAGGGAUAUUUACAAAGAUCCUGACUAUGUACGGAAAGGAGAUGCAAGACUUCCACUUAAAUGGAUGGCUCCGGAGGCUAUUUUUGAUAAAAUUUAUACUACGCAGAGUGAUGUGUGGUCUUUUGGCGUGUUACUAUGGGAAAUAUUUUCUCUGGGUGCCUCACCAUACCCGGGUGUGCAAAUUGAUGAGGACUUUUGCCGCCGCCUCAAAGAAGGAACACGGAUGAGAUCGCCAGAAUAUUCCACUCCAGAAAUCUACCAGACUAUGCUGGAUUGUUGGCAUGGAGUUGCCACAGAGCGGCCGACCUUCACAGAGCUGGUUGAGCGCUUAGGAGACCUCCUCCAGGCAAACGUGCAACAGGAUGGUAAAGAUUAUAUUCCACUGAACAUCACAUUAUGCCUUGAUGGAGAAUCUAACCCAAAGACCUGCCCAGUGGAAGAAAACUUGAGCAAUUGCAUUAAUCGCUGGAGUGCAUUGGGAAUAGGUAAUAACAGUAAGAAGAGACCGCUGAGUGUGAAGACAUUUGAUGAGGUGCCAGUGGAGAAGCAGAAAGUGAUGAAUGAGGAAAGCGAGUCAGAUAGCGGGAUGGUGCUGACAUCUGAUGAGAUGAAAAGCCUGAAGAGGCUGGAAAUCCGCUCCUGGCCUUAUGGGAUUAUGGCUCUAGCGCAGCGAGCUGUCAGUAAGAGCAAAGAAUCCAUGUUAUCAGAGCAUGAGAUUGUGAAAUACCAGCCAGCAAUACAGAUAGAUGAGGACACCAUGGACUUCACCCUGGAAGACUCAGUUCUCCUGCCCAUGGAUCCAAACCUGGAAUGCCACAGCCCACCUCCCGACUACAACUCCGUCAUCCACUAUUCUGCCCCUCCAGUGUAAUCAGACCAGUUCAAUCUCUGCACCUCUUUCAGCAAUGCUGGAUUCUCACAUGCCUCCACCAUUUAUACAGGCUGUUUAAAAGGACUAGGGUAAAAAGAGGAGAAGGAAACUGAGAGUGUCCCUGCUAUGAAUGGAAACCCGUAAAGAGCAGCUACCUUAAAAGGUAUGUUUCAGCUUAUCAAGUUAACAUACCAGAAUCAAAAAUAGGAGUUGCAGCCCAAAAUUGCUCCCCACUCCUUACUCCCCACACUGGAUUGCUCAGUAGCAAUUGCAGAUGUGCAAGGUAUUUCAAUCCCUUUUUGCUGAUUCCAUACAAGAGUCACGGAGAUGGGUGCCACAGGAUUGAUUCUGCUGGCCAUACGUAGACCCUGCAAGGAUUAUAUGCUCAGAUGCUGUAUGGGGAUCAGUUAAGAACUGUAGCCCCAAACACUGAUAUAUGGAUUUUGAAAGCGUACGUUAUUUUAAAAACAUGGGGAAUCUCAUUAUCCCUCCCAAAAUGUAUUUGAAAUAUCCAAAUUGUUUUGCUUAGGGUUGGUAUUCUAAUGAUGUUUGUACAUCUUCUGGGAUCCGUCCUUAAAACUAUACAACAUACACAGAGCAUGGGUACUCUGAGUACCUGUAGAAAGCCUGGAUUUGGUUGCAUUCUGGGCACACUACAUAGCUCAUCUAUUUCCCUAGGUUUUUCCUUUGUAGGAACAACAAUUUAUUUUAGUGAAUUAUUUUAUACUGAUUGUUCAGCAGGUUUUUGGAUAAGGACUUUAUAAAUUUAGAUAAAUACAUUUUCCCGUGUGUGUGCACUCAAUGCAGGCCAUAUGCCACUGGGACACCAACAGUUUAACACAAUUUUUCUGUUUAACUUCUGGACACAUAUCUUUAUAGAAAGCACUUCCCCUAGAUUCCACUACUGAUGCCAAACAGUUUGAUUUUUGGAAUACCAACCUAUACCACACUAGGAGCAAUCUGACAUUUAGGUUUGUACUUCUGGAGCCCAUGCAGCCUGACCACCUUGCUACUGUGGUAUGUAAUACCCUAAGCAAGUAAAUCAAAGCUUUUUGCAGUCAGGCCUGGCUGGAUCAUGAAUCUACACAGAUGAGAAAUUCAAAGUGACCUGCCCCUCACCCCCCACAUGCUAUGUACAGCAGGGGAAUUGUAGGUUUGCCAGCAUGCACACCCAUCUCCUCCUUGCAGCAACCUCACAAGUAAGCAAGUAAUCCUUGUAAUUUAAUGCACUGUGAAGUAAUCUCAGCUGACAUUAAAAAUUUAGGCAGGAGUAAAGCAUCUAGGGUCUCAAGUCUAAAGCAAGGCUGAGAAAGAUGCUCAUUGACAGUCAAGCCUGUAACCUCCUAAAUUAUAACCUGGAAAAAGGAGCUUUACAUUAAUUUUCUCUCUGGGGACUUUUCCAAGGCCUAGGAAACGCCUCCAUUCCCUUCUUAGGUCUGGCAUUAGCAAUCACCUCUUUCCUUGAGAGGAUAGAUCUUUUUAAAUGAUCACAAAUCGAAAGAAGAAAAGGCACCUGGCAAACAAUGUGAUCCUAACUCCUCCAGCAUAGGGAAAACAGA
Molecule: RNA transcript, 6425 nt
Organism: Gopherus evgoodei (Goodes thornscrub tortoise)
Lineage: Eukaryota; Metazoa; Chordata; Testudines; Testudinidae
Gene name: vascular endothelial growth factor receptor kdr-like
Exons: 31
Source: RefSeq, a predicted model, not a curated record